Molecule: long non-coding RNA, 344 nt
Filed under: Homo sapiens (human)
Lineage: Eukaryota; Metazoa; Chordata; Mammalia; Primates; Hominidae
Description: HSALNT0213836
Source: RNAcentral
CAAGGGCCAGGAAUCAUGAAAGACAUCUAAAAAUUCUGCCUACUACAGUGACCGGGGUCAUUUAAGGGAUCAUUAAAAGAUGAUAUAAUAAUAUUUACUCUCAAGUGAAAGUGGCUUGGAGCUCUAGAGUUAGUUUAUAUUUAUAGAAACUGUCAAUUCGAUAAGUAACUUUCAGUUUCUGGAAAAGAUUGAGGCCUGAUAUGUUGUAAAGAAUGAAGGAAAGCAGGAAGGAGAGAAGGAAGGAAGAAAGAAAAGAAGGAAGGAGGAAGAAAGGAAAGAAGGAAUAAAGGAAGGGAGGAGGAGGGUAUAUAAAGAAGAAGGAAAGAAAAAGGCAAAAAGAAUAG